UACGUAGGGGGCUAGCGUUGUCCGGAUUUAUUGGGCGUAAAGAGCGUGUAGGCGGCCAGAUAGGUCGGUUGUGAAAACUGGAGGCUCAACCUCCAGACGUCGACCGAAACCAUCUGGCUAGAGUCCGGAAGAGGAGAGUGGAAUUCCUGGUGUAGCGGUGAAAUGCGCAGAUAUCAGGAGGAACACCGGUGGCGAAGGCGGUUCUCUGGGCAUUACCUGACGCUGAGGAGCGAAAGUGUGGGGAGCGAACAGG
RNAcentral lists this ribosomal RNA (253 nucleotides) under uncultured bacterium. RNAcentral describes it as "partial 16S ribosomal RNA". It matches the Rfam family "Bacterial small subunit ribosomal RNA", at positions 524 to 776 of the family's 1533-position model. The record is from RNAcentral.